Syzygium oleosum is the source of this 407-nucleotide long non-coding RNA. RefSeq lists it as uncharacterized. The transcript is spliced from 2 exons. Lineage: Eukaryota; Viridiplantae; Streptophyta; Magnoliopsida; Myrtales; Myrtaceae. The record is from RefSeq and is a predicted model, not a curated record.
GAGAUGACAAUGUGUUGGGGGUUUAACUUAUGAGCUCUGAAUAUCAAGUCGUUUCGAGAUUUCCAAAUCUGCCAUAAUAAUAAAGCAAGGAGCUCAAAGGAUACAGAGGGGCAUAGCAGAAACAGAUGCUCUAUGGAUUCUGGAUUCUGUUGACAUAUCAAGCAAGUGGCUUCAGGUAUGAUCCGUCUUCGAACCAGAUUCUCCUUAGUUGCGAAGGCGUUUUGGCAAACUUGCCAGAGAAAAAAUCUGAUUUUGGGUUGUAAUUUUGCCUUCCAAAUUCUAUUCCAUAAUUCUUUGGGGGUUUGGUACGACGUUGAAGCUUGAUUCUGAUUUGGUGUUUCUUUUUGUGCUUUGAUGUUGUUAUACGCACUCUUCACUGUGAACUGCCCUGUUUUGGUUGGUGUCCA